This 279-nucleotide unclassified non-coding RNA is filed under the name plant metagenome. RNAcentral's name for it is "partial contains small subunit ribosomal RNA, internal transcribed spacer 1, and 5.8S ribosomal RNA". The record is from RNAcentral.
UUUCCGUAGGUGAACCUGCGGAAGGAUCAUUAACAAUUAGCGAUUUUUGGAACUUCCUAAACAAUUUAUCUCCACCUCGUAUGCAACGUUAUGAGACACACUAUCGUUAUCUUUCAGGGUACGGCAGGGGGAACCUCUAAAACAUACCAAAACUCUCUCUAUCUUAUUUGUCUGAACAUUUGUUAUCGCGAGUUAAGGUAAUUCGUAUUUACAACAUCCAACAACGGAUCACUUGGCUAUCGCUUCGAUGAAGAAUGCAGCUGAUCGGCAGAGCACACG